RNAcentral lists this ribosomal RNA (442 nucleotides) under uncultured bacterium. RNAcentral's name for it is "partial 16S ribosomal RNA". It matches the Rfam family "Bacterial small subunit ribosomal RNA", at positions 338 to 795 of the family's 1533-position model. The record is from RNAcentral.
CCUACGGGUGGCAGCAGUGGGGAAUAUUGGGCAAUGGACGCAAGCCUGACCCAGCAAUGCCGCGUGAAGGAAGAAGGCUUUCGGGUUGUAAACUUCUUUGGCCGGGGAAGAGCAUCAGAGUGUACCCUGACCACACUCCACGGCUAACUACGUGCCAGCCGCCGCGGUAAUACGUAGGUGGCAAGCGUUCUCCGGAUUUACUGGGUGUAAAGGGCGUGUAGACGGGAAGGCAAGUCAGUUGUGAAAUCCGGAGGCUCAACCUCCGAAUUGCAUUUGAAACUGUUUUUCUUGAGUACUGGAGAGGCAGAUGGAAUUCCUUGUGUAGCGGUGAAAUGCGUAGAUAUAAGGAGGAACACCAGUGGCGAAGGCGGUCUGCUGGACAGCAACUGACGGUGAGGCGCGAAAGCGUGGGGAGCAAACAGGAUUAGAUACCCGAGUAGUC